This 412-nucleotide ribosomal RNA is filed under the name uncultured bacterium. Its description in RNAcentral is "bacterial SSU rRNA". It matches the Rfam family "Bacterial small subunit ribosomal RNA", at positions 506 to 919 of the family's 1533-position model. The record is from RNAcentral.
GGCCAGCAGCCGCGGUAAUACGUAGGUGGCAAGCGUUGUCCGGAAUUAUUGGGCGUAAAGGGUGCGUAGGUGGCAGUUUAAGUGGGAUGUGAAAUACCUAAGCUCAACUUAGGAGUGGCAUUCCAAACUGGACUGCUAGAGUGCAGGAGAGGAAAGUGGAAUUCCCAGUGUAGCGGUGAAAUGCGUAGAGAUUGGGAGGAACACCAGUGGCGAAGGCGACUUUCUGGACUGUAACUGACACUGAGGCACGAAAGCGUGGGGAGCAAACAGGAUUAGAUACCCUGGUAGUCCACGCUGUAAACUAUGAGUACUAGGUGUAGGGGGCGAAGCCCUCUGUGCCGCAGUUAACACAAUAAGUACUCCGCCUGGGAAGUACGAUCGCAAGAUUAAAACUUAAAGGAAUUGGCGGGGG